RNAcentral lists this antisense RNA (69 nucleotides) under Amycolatopsis cihanbeyliensis. RNAcentral describes it as "ASpks TB sRNA". It matches the Rfam family "ASpks TB sRNA". The record is from Rfam by way of RNAcentral. Lineage: Bacteria; Bacillati; Actinomycetota; Actinomycetes; Pseudonocardiales; Pseudonocardiaceae.
CUUGAUCGAGCCCAGCAGCAGCGGCCGCUCGCGUUCCUGCCCGUAGGUGGCCAGCAACGCCUGCGCCUC